This 2789-nucleotide long non-coding RNA is filed under the name Homo sapiens (human). Its description in RNAcentral is "HSALNT0300610". Lineage: Eukaryota; Metazoa; Chordata; Mammalia; Primates; Hominidae. The record is from RNAcentral.
UUUUACAACGUCGGGCUGCUUCCCCCUGUGCUCAGGGAGUUGCCUCUCUGGCUGCUGCUUAGAGUGGACUGGAAUUGACUUGUCUGACUGCUCUUUUUGAGGGCAUUAUCUCCAGUCCCUGAAGGCAAGAAAAGUGGCCAGAAUGAAGCACAUCCGAGAAUGAAAAAGAGAAGGUCACCACGAAAAGCUUCAGCAGCAAACCAGUGAACUAGCUGCAGAUGAAAGGGAAUUCCAGUCUGACUCAUCAUGGGAUCAAGUUGUUUCCCAGGCAUUCGCCCCAUGUGUGGACUGCAGGGAUAAUGUGUCUCUGGACAGAAGUCUCUCUCGUUUGACUGCUGUGGAUUCCCGCAGACUCUAGAACACCAGUCUCCCUCCUCUCCUGGCCAUCCUGCAGGGAGCCACCCUUGUAGUCUUUCUAGAACCCACAUGUCAUGCUCAUGCUGAAUAACACCCAUGAGUUCUCCAGUGUCAUCAAGAUGAAAUCCAAGCUCCAGUGCAUGGCCCUCUGCCCUCCGGACCGGGCCUGACUCUCCUCCUUUCUCUCCCCACAUCAAUCCAGGGCUCCCUGGAAUCACCAUGCUGCUUUUGUCUUUCUGCCUCAGCCUGGGCUGCAGCUUUAGCCAGGACACGUUCUCUGCCUUUUUCUUAUUCAUUUACCAGGAAAACUUCUAGUUUCCUUGAAGACUCACUUCAAGGCUCUCUUUCUCCUGGAAACUUGGUUUCCUCCCAGACAGAAUUCACUGCUCUUCGUCUGAGAUCCUGUAACACCUUACACAUAUCACCAUCUUGGCUCCAACCUCCUGGCUUUGUAAUUAUUCCUGAUUUGUCUCUCCCAGUAGCCCACUAUCCUCAAGGAGAAGGCCGAGGCUUAUUCUUGGUUGAGUUCCCAGUUACAUGUUAACGUGUGAAUGAGUGAAUGAAUGCACCUUGAAUGCCUCCAUCCUUUCCAAAGACAUUGGAAAUGUCUCUCCUCUGAGAGAAUUCUUGCCUCACGUGUGAAUCAGAGCCUGACAAAUCAUUUAUUUCUUCGGCCUGGCAUCCUACCUACCGAAUGGCAUGGGCUUGCUCUUGCAGCCCCAAGCAGAAGCUCUUUUGUCCACACUUCCUUUCUUGUUGUUUUAGCUUCCUUUCCCUUCACUGCUAGACUGUGAGCUUUUUAAGGGCGGGGCCACAUCCUGCUCAUUUACACCCUUGCGUCCCAGCAUCUAGCCUGGUGACAGAGCAGAACGUGGCUCUCCUUCAGACCAAGCUUACUCUCGUCUUUAAAUUGUUGCAGAAGGACAAGGGAGCAGACUAAAAGGAGCCAGAGAUGAAAUGGUACGCUUGCCUCUUCCAUCAUCAGAUGUUGUGAACUGACAACGUAAAUAUUCAGGCACCUCCAGCAUCUCUUGCCCAGCUGCUCUCUGCCUAGUGCAGGUGACCCAGUCCAACUCCUCUCAAUUUGCCUGCCUUUCCGCUCUCUCUUUCAUCUUCUUCUUCCUUUUCUAAAAGCAGGCACUGCAAUAAAUUAAACUUUCAUGGUUCCAUUCCCUCUUUUCCCAUUGAGGAACCCUAACAUAUUUCCUUAAGGAAAUACUUUGGAAAUUGUAAUUGAAACACAAUAAUUCAUAACGGAAGCGGGAGGAGGAGAGUAAUAGAUUUAGCUCUUGUUUCUGGUGGCAGACAUGUUAAUUACAUUUUCUAUUUCCUCUCAUUACCAGGGAGCAUGUCUCCAACAGGCCAGCCUGCUACUCUCCCUCCUCUCCAGCCAGCCCCACCCUGCUUCACACCCUCAGUGGGCCUGGAGGCAAGUGGAAUGCACAACUGACCAUGUCACUGUUUUGUUCUGAGCUCCUUGGAAGAGUUACAACCCAGCAACUCAGGUCCAGUUUCCUUAGUGGGAAUCAGAGAGCCCCAAACUCUACUCUCCUACCUUAAGGGACAGCCAGACUGAGAUCUCUGAAUUCACAUAGCCUCUUCUUGCUUCUGGGAGUCUCCAUAUGCCACCGAGGCCCCCGUUUCCCCUGGAGUGAGUCAGGAGGACCACUACUGCCUACCUGCUUGUGCAUCUGCCAGUAACACCUGCUCCCCUAUCUGUCCUGUCUCACUGCCCUUUCUAGUAACAUUGCCUCGGCCGGAGAAGGCAGAAUGUGUGGCUCCUGACUCCUCUGCAUUCCUGUUGUCCCUUUCACACUCAUGAUGCCAUAGUAUGAUUGUCUUUUACUCUCCAUCUCUUUAUCCCCUGCCUCAACCCCUCCCAGUGACACACAAAAAAGUAUGAGAAACUGGAAGCAUUGGGAGGGCAGGGCAUUUAUCAGGAAAUUUAUCAAUUUCUGAACUAUGUAGUACAGUGCCUGGUUCAGAACAAAUUCUCAACAAAAUAUUUGAAUAAUGUACGUCUAGGCAGACUUCUUGGAUCGAGACUCUCUGACUAGUGGGUGGGGAGUGGAGUCCUCAGGGUCCUUUUCUGCUGACAUAAAUCUUCUCUGCGUAGUAAAUCCUAGAGCAAGUGUACUUUCUGCAGCUUAGCUGCACAGUCAUGUCAGUGCCUGAGCCAAAAGAAACGAUGGAAAAAUGUGUGCCCCAUACAUACUUAUGAAAAUAUUCUACCAUAUUUUGAUCCAUAUAGAAAAAGCUAAAAAAGAUUUGAAAUUUUAUGAAAAUGACUUUACAAAAGCCCUGUAUUGUCCAGUCUGUUCUUGCGCCGUGCUUAACCCUCCUCCUAAGCUCACCCAGGAGGGACUGUGAGGACCACGAAGCCUUGGAACCAUGGACUGACGAGAAAUGAUUGUUCCCACUGCACAAUGAGG